Molecule: ribosomal RNA, 253 nt
Filed under: uncultured bacterium
Lineage: Bacteria
Description: partial 16S ribosomal RNA
Rfam family: Bacterial small subunit ribosomal RNA
Source: RNAcentral
UACAGAGGGGGCUAGCGUUGUUCGGAAUUACUGGGCGUAAAGGGCGCGUAGGCGGCCCUCUAAGUCAGACGUGAAAUCCCUCGGCUCAACCGGGGAACUGCGUCUGAGACUGGAAGGCUUGAAUUCGGGAGAGGGAUGUGGAAUUCCAGGUGUAGCGGUGAAAUGCGUAGAUAUCUGGAGGAACACCGGUGGCGAAGGCGGCAUCCUGGACCGAUAUUGACGCUGAUGCGCGAAAGCCAGGGGAGCAAACGGG